This 253-nucleotide ribosomal RNA is filed under the name uncultured bacterium. Its description in RNAcentral is "partial 16S ribosomal RNA". It matches the Rfam family "Bacterial small subunit ribosomal RNA", at positions 524 to 776 of the family's 1533-position model. The record is from RNAcentral.
UACAGAGGGUGCAAGCGUUGUUCGGAAUUACUGGGCGUAAAGGGCGCGUAGGCGGUCUUGUAAGUCAGAUGUGAAAGCCCGGGGCUCAACCCCGGAAGUGCAUUUGAAACUGCAAGACUUGAGUGAUGUAGAGGUUGGUGGAAUUCCUAGUGGAGAGGUGAAAUUCGUAGAUAUUAGGAGGAACACCGGUGGCGAAGGCGGCCAACUGGGCAUUAACUGACGCUGAGGCGCGAGAGCAUGGGUAGCAAACAGG